UUAGCUUUACUGGAGCAGAGCAACAUUUAAUAGGAAUUCCAUCAUAAAUAUUUACCCAGAUACAACAUUCUUCUCUGGAAUUUGAGUUUUUCCAGAAGGUUUAGGAUCUAAGGAUGAACUAUCAGUGGUACUGAUUAUACAACGAGUUUGUACAAAAUGUUCGCUGGUGUUGGGCGUUUACCUUUUAUCACUCCUAUAUCCCCUUAUUGUGUUUCUCUGUUUCUAGAAAGUAGGCCAUUUGUUCCAGGCUUUCAAGUUUAUGCCAUAACCUGAAGGAGAAAGAGUUCACUAUUGACCAGCAGUUAAAAGCAGGUUCAGUUUCUACCUCAUUUUCCAUCCCCACAGUAGCACUUCCUGUUAGUUCGAAAAAUAUCUCAAUGCAUUAUUUACACACCUAGCUUGUGCUCUGUGACCAGAAUUGGUAAACUGUAGCCGUGAUAGUACUACACUGUAUUCAGAAAUAACACUGUAUUCAGAAAUAGCAGGAGGAGAUAAAGCUAGGUGUUGCAUAUAGGCCGAUGGUGAACCCUUUUAGAGCUGACCUUCCUUCAAAGUUGGAUAUCAUCUACAGUAACCUCACCGCAUCCAUAGAUCAACUGAACACACAAAAGGCACUUAAGAUCUUUACUGGUAUCCAGGAUGUGUUGUCUGAUCAUCUAAGCGAACUGGCCCACUAUGCUAAGGAAUUAGGACAGUUCAGUUACUUGAUCGGACUGUUUAGCAUGUAGAAAUUGGAAGCAGGCUUAGAAAAACACCACCAAGCUUGAAAGCAGAAAAAGAUGCACACACUCACCAUUAUUAUCUUCCUGUGAUAAUUUUAGGCUUGUACCAGGAAACUUGAAGAGGCAAUUUUAGUCGGUGGUGUGCUUUAAAAUUUCAUAUUGUUGUUCGAUGUUUCUCCAUAAUCGUUUCUUCUAUUUUUUUAGAAUUUUCUAGCAUAUGAACUAUCACAUGAAUUUUGCUGGCUCUGGUGGUCGCGCCGCCCAGGACGCCGGUGGCGGAGACAGAGGCAAUUUGUACUGGGACGUCGUGGCCGAGCCGCAAGACCUCCGCCUUGACGAGCUGCUGGACCGAUGCCUCGACGAGACACCGGACCUUGGCCUCCCUCUGGUUUUCAUGGCUGAACAUGAGCAUGUCUGUUUGUGGUGUUGAGGUAAAGCUCAGAUUGAUACACAGUAGAGCCAAGGGCAUGUCGUGGACCAACUAUAGCAAGCUGGGCAGCGUGUGCAGCUAGCUUCGGGAGUGAAAUGAGAUAAUACAGAGCAUUACAUGUGCCGAUAGCAUGAAAUUGGAGGAGCUGAAUUCUAUAUUGGUUCCUUGUUGACCUCUCACCCUGCUGAUGUAGUUCUGUAUUGUACAGGUGAUUGCACUUGUGGAAGGAUUAGCCCACCAGUGCUCAGACGGAACGUGCAUUCUAAGCCAGAUUCAGGUGCUCUGCUCCAGCCUUCAACAAGUCAAUCUUGUUUAGUACUAUGGAGUGCAAACUAUGCAGAUGAUGUUUGUGUUUAGAAGUUUCUACUAGGACACAUAUAACUCUUUGGGUGGGUCAGGUGCCCCCUUUCUCAUACAAUUGAGUCGUAUUCACUUUGAGUGUAACUUGUAGCCUUGUAAAUU
Molecule: long non-coding RNA, 1614 nt
Organism: Triticum dicoccoides
Lineage: Eukaryota; Viridiplantae; Streptophyta; Magnoliopsida; Poales; Poaceae
Exons: 5
Source: RefSeq, a predicted model, not a curated record